AACCAUAGAAACCUGCGGAGUACCUGCGGAGGGAUCAUGAAUGAAAAUUUCACCCUCAGGGGGGGCAAGGGGAGAGGGGGGAUUGUCUCACUUUCUCCUUGCCUUUUCUGAGCAAACAAACACACAAGACUAGGUAUAUAAGGAAGCCGCAGCCGUGGUUUUAUGUUAUGGGGGGGGGGGCUUGGCUAGAAACAAAAGUUCUUGGCUGAUAAGUAGCUUGCUGAUUUGGAGUGGAGUUAC
Molecule: unclassified non-coding RNA, 240 nt
Filed under: soil metagenome
Description: partial contains 5.8S ribosomal RNA, internal transcribed spacer 2, and large subunit ribosomal RNA
Source: RNAcentral